CAAGUCGAACGCGAAAGCCCCGCAAGGGGUAAGUAGAGUGGCAAACGGGUGAGUAACACGUGGGUGACCUACCUUCGAGUGGGGGAUAACGUCCCGAAAGGGACGCUAAUACCGCAUGACAUCCUGCGUUUGGAAACGCGGAGAUCAAAGCCGGGGAUCGCAAGACCUGGCGCUUGACGAGGGGCCCGCGCCUGAUUAGCUAGUUGGUGGGGUAACGGCCUACCAAGGCAACGAUCAGUAUCCGGCCUGAGAGGGCGGACGGACACACUGGGACUGAGACACGGCCCAGACUCCUACGGGAGGCAGCAGUGGGGAAUUGUUCGCAAUGGGCGCAAGCCUGACGACGCAACGCCGCGUGGAGGACGAAGAUCUUCGGGUCGUAAACUCCUGUCGAGCGGGAAGAACGCUUCCCGGGUGAAUAAUCCGGGGAAUUGACGGUACCGCUAAAGGAAGCCCCGGCUAACUCCGUGCCAGCAGCCGCGGUAAUACGGGGGGGGCAAGCGUUGUUCGGAAUUACUGGGCGUAAAGGGCUCGUAGGCGGCCAACUAAGUCGGAUGUGAAAUCCCCAGGCUUAACCUGGGAACUGCAUCCGAUACUGGAUGGCUUGAAUCCGGGAGAGGGAUGCAGAAUUCCAGGUGUAGCGGUGAAAUGCGUAGAUAUCUGGAGGAAUACCGGUGGCGAAGGCGGCAUCCUGGACCGGCAUUGACGCUGAUGAGCGAAAGCUAGGGGAGCAAACGGGAUUAGAUACCCCGGUAGUCCUAGCCCUAAACGAUGAAUGCUUGGUGUGGCGGGUAUCGAUCCCUGCCGUGCCGAAGCUAACGCAUUAAGCAUUCCGCCUGGGGAGUACGGUCGCAAGGCUGAAACUCAA
Molecule: ribosomal RNA, 868 nt
Filed under: uncultured Pseudomonadota bacterium
Lineage: Bacteria; Pseudomonadati; Pseudomonadota
Description: bacterial SSU rRNA
Rfam family: Bacterial small subunit ribosomal RNA
Source: RNAcentral